UACGUAGGGUCCGAGCGUUAAUCGGAAUUACUGGGCGUAGAGCGUGCGCAGGCGGUUUUGUAAGCCAGAUGUGAAAUCCCCGGGCUCAACCUGGGAACUGCAUUUGGGACUGCAAGGCUAGAGUACGGCAGAGGGGGGUAGAAUUCCUGGUGUAGCAGUGAAAUGCGUAGAUAUCAGGAGGAAUACCGAUGGCGAAGGCAGCCCCCUGGGUCGAUACUGACGCUCAUGCACGAAAGCGUGGGGAGCAAACAGG
Molecule: ribosomal RNA, 253 nt
Filed under: uncultured bacterium
Lineage: Bacteria
Description: partial 16S ribosomal RNA
Rfam family: Bacterial small subunit ribosomal RNA
Source: RNAcentral